UACGAAGGGGGCUAGCGUUGCUCGGAAUCACUGGGCGUAAAGCGCACGUAGGCGGAUCUUUAAGUCAGGGGUGGAAUCCCGAGGCUCAACCUCGGAACUGCCCUUGAUACUGGGGAUCUCGAGUCCGGAAGAGGUUGGUGGAACUCCGAGUGUAGAGGUGAAAUUCGUAGAUAUUCGGAAGAACACCAGUGGCGAAGGCGGCCAACUGGUCCGGCACUGACGCUGAGGUGCGAAAGCGUGGGGAGCAAACAGG
Molecule: ribosomal RNA, 253 nt
Filed under: uncultured bacterium
Lineage: Bacteria
Description: partial 16S ribosomal RNA
Rfam family: Bacterial small subunit ribosomal RNA
Source: RNAcentral